CCUACGGGAGGCAGCAGUGGGGAAUAUUGCACAAUGGGGGAAACCCUGAUGCAGCGACGCCGCGUGAGUGAAGAAGUAUUUCGGUACGUAAAGCUCUAUCAGCAGGGAAGAAAAUGACGGUACCUGACUAAGAAGCCCCGGCUAACUACGUGCCAGCAGCCGCGGUAAUACGUAGGGGGCAAGCGUUAUCCGGAUUUACUGGGUGUAAAGGGAGCGUAGACGGCAGCGCAAGUCUGGAGUGAAAUCCCAUGGCUUAACCAUGGAACUGCUUUGGAAACUGUGCAGCUAGAGUGCAGGAGAGGUAAGCGGAAUUCCUAGUGUAGCGGCGAAAUGCGUAGAUAUUAGGAGGAACACCAGUGGCGAAGGCGGCUUACUGGACUGUAACUGACGUUGAGGCUCGAAAGCGUGGGGAGCAAACAGGAUUAGAUACCCGAGUAGUC
RNAcentral lists this ribosomal RNA (440 nucleotides) under uncultured bacterium. RNAcentral's name for it is "partial 16S ribosomal RNA". It matches the Rfam family "Bacterial small subunit ribosomal RNA", at positions 338 to 795 of the family's 1533-position model. The record is from RNAcentral.